RNAcentral lists this ribosomal RNA (364 nucleotides) under uncultured bacterium. RNAcentral describes it as "bacterial SSU rRNA". It matches the Rfam family "Bacterial small subunit ribosomal RNA", at positions 282 to 658 of the family's 1533-position model. The record is from RNAcentral.
GGUAGCCGGCCUGAGAGGGCGACCGGCCACACUGGGACUGAGACACGGCCCAGACUCCUACGGGAGGCAGCAGUGGGGAAUAUUGGGCAAUGGAGGAAACUCUGACCCAGCGACGCCGCGUGMGGGAUGAAGGCCUUCGGGUUGUAAACCNCUUUCAGUAGGGAAGAAGCGAAAGUGACGGUACCUACAGAAGAAGCACCGGCUAACUAUGUGCCAGCAGCCGCGGUAAUACAUAGGGUGCAAGCGUUGUCCGGAAUUAUUGGGCGUAAAGAGCUCGUAGGUGGUUNGAUACGUCGGAUGUGAAAAUCAGGGGCUCAACCCCUGACCUGCAUYCGAUACGGUCNAGCUNGAGUKUGGUAGGGGA